This 440-nucleotide ribosomal RNA is filed under the name uncultured bacterium. RNAcentral describes it as "partial 16S ribosomal RNA". It matches the Rfam family "Bacterial small subunit ribosomal RNA", at positions 338 to 795 of the family's 1533-position model. The record is from RNAcentral.
CCUACGGGUGGCAGCAGUGGGGAAUAUUGCACAAUGGGGGAAACUCUGAUCCAGCGACGUAGCGUGAAUGAAGAAGGAAUUCGGUGUGUAAAGCUCUAUCUGCAGGGAAGUAAAUGACGCUACCUGAGUAAGUAGCCCCGGCUAACUACGUGCCAGCAGCGGCGGUAAUACGUAGGGGGCAAGCGUUAUCCGGAUUUACUGGGUGUAAAGGGAGCGUAGACGGCAGUGCAAGUCAGGAGUGAAAGUCUGGGGCUCAACCCCCGGACUGCACUUGAAACUGUAAGGCUGGAGUGCAGGAGAGGUGAGUGGAAUUCGUGGUGUAGCGGUGAAAUGCGUAGAUAUUAGGAAGAACACCAGUGGCGAAGGCAGUUUACUGGACUGUAACUGACGCUGAGGCUCGAAAGCGUGGGGAGCAAACAGGAUUAGAUACCCCAGUAGUC